AGUGAACGCUGGCGGUAGGCCUAACACAUGCAAGUCGAACGGCAGCACAGUAAGAGCUUGCUCUUACGGGUGGCGAGUGGCGGAUGGGUGAGGAAUACAUCGGACUCUACUUUUUCGUGGGGGAUAACGUAGGGAAACUUACGCUGAUACCGCCUACGACCUACGGGUGAAAGCAGGGGAUCUUCGGACCUUGCGCGAUUGAAUGAGCCGAUGUCGGAUUGGCUAGUUGGCGGGGUAAAGGCCCAGCAAGGCGACGAUCCGUAGCUGGUGUGAGAGGAUGAUCAGCCACACUGGAGCUGAGACACGGUCCAGACUCCUACGGGAGGCAGCGGUGGGGAAGAUUGGACGAUGGGCGCAAGCCUGAUCCAGCCAUACCGCGUGGAUGAAGAAGGCCUUCGGGCUGUAAAGCCCUUUUGUUGGGAAAGAAAAGCAGCAGGUUAAUACCCCGCUGUUCCGACGGUACCCAAAGAAUAAGCACCGGCUAACUUCGUG
Molecule: ribosomal RNA, 492 nt
Filed under: uncultured bacterium
Lineage: Bacteria
Description: partial 16S ribosomal RNA
Rfam family: Bacterial small subunit ribosomal RNA
Source: RNAcentral